This 498-nucleotide ribosomal RNA is filed under the name uncultured bacterium. Its description in RNAcentral is "partial 16S ribosomal RNA". It matches the Rfam family "Bacterial small subunit ribosomal RNA", at positions 355 to 865 of the family's 1533-position model. The record is from RNAcentral.
UGGGGAAUAUUGCACAAUGGGCGAAAGCCUGAUGCAGCAACGCCGCGUGAGUGAUGAAGGUCUUCGGAUUGUAAAGCUCUGUCUUUUGGGACGAUAAUGACGGUACCAAAGGAGGAAGCCACGGCUAACUACGUGCCAGCAGCCGCGGUAAUACGUAGGUGGCGAGCGUUGUCCGGAUUUACUGGGCGUAAAGGGUGCGUAGGCGGAUGUUUAAGUGAGAUGUGAAAUACCCGGGCUUAACUUGGGUGCUGCAUUUCAAACUGGAUAUCUAGAGUGCAGGAGAGGAGAAUGGAAUUCCUAGUGUAGCGGUGAAAUGCGUAGAGAUUAGGAAGAACACCAGUGGCGAAGGCGAUUCUCUGGACUGUAACUGACGCUGAGGCACGAAAAGCGUGGGUAGCAAACAGGAUUAGAUACCCUGGUAGUCCACGCCGUAAAACGAUGAGUACUAGGUGUAGGAGGUAUCGACCCCCUUCUGUGCCGCAGUAAAACACAUUAAGU